RNAcentral lists this ribosomal RNA (253 nucleotides) under uncultured bacterium. RNAcentral's name for it is "partial 16S ribosomal RNA". It matches the Rfam family "Bacterial small subunit ribosomal RNA", at positions 524 to 776 of the family's 1533-position model. The record is from RNAcentral.
UACGGAGGGAGCUAGCGUUGUUCGGAAUUACUGGGCGUAAAGCGCACGUAGGCGGCUUUGUAAGUUAGAGGUGAAAGCCCGGAGCUCAACUCCGGAACUGCCUUUAAGACUGCAUCGCUUGAAUCCAGGAGAGGUGAGUGGAAUUCCGAGUGUAGAGGUGAAAUUCGUAGAUAUCGGGAGGAACACCAGUGGCGAAGGCGACUACCUGGCCUGUUCUUGACGCUGAGGCGCGAAAGCUAGGGGAGCAAACGGG